RNAcentral lists this ribosomal RNA (468 nucleotides) under uncultured bacterium. RNAcentral's name for it is "partial 16S ribosomal RNA". It matches the Rfam family "Bacterial small subunit ribosomal RNA", at positions 28 to 507 of the family's 1533-position model. The record is from RNAcentral.
GACGAACGCUGGCGGCGUGCUUAACACAUGCAAGUCGAACGGAAAGGCCCUGCUUUUGUGGGGUGCUCGAGUGGCGAACGGGUGAGUAACACGUGAGUAACCUGCCCUUGACUUUGGGAUAACUUCAGGAAACUGGGGCUAAUACCGGAUAGGAUCUCCUGCUGCAUGGUGGGGGUUGGAAAGUUUCGGCGGUUGGGGAUGGACUCGCGGCUUAUCAGCUUGUUGGUUGGGUAGGGGCUUACCCAGGCUUUGACGGGUAGCCGGCCUGAGAGGGUGACCGGGCACAAUGGGCCUGCGAUACGCCGCAGUCUCCUACGGGAGGCAGCAGUGGGGAAUCUUGCCCAACGGGCGGAAGCCUGAUGAAGAAACGCCGCGUGCGGGAUGACGGUCUUCGGGUUGUAAACCGCUUUCGCCUGUGACGAAGCGUGAGUGACGGUAAUGGGUAAAGAAGCACCGGCUAACUACGUG